RNAcentral lists this unclassified non-coding RNA (647 nucleotides) under Homo sapiens (human). RNAcentral describes it as "transmembrane channel like 4 (ENSG00000273722.4)". Lineage: Eukaryota; Metazoa; Chordata; Mammalia; Primates; Hominidae. The record is from RNAcentral.
GAAGUCACCCAGACAGAGCUGCAGGACCCUCACCCUUCCCGGGAACUGCCCUGGCCCAUGCAGGCCAGACGGGCACACAGGCAAAGAAAUGCCAGCAGGGACCAGGUGGUCUAUGGCUCUGGAACUAAGACGGACCGAUGGGCGCGGCUACUUCGGAGGUCCAAGGAGAAAACAAAGGAAGGCUUGCGAAGCCUGCAGCCCUGGGCGUGGACACUGAAGAGGAUCGGGGGCCAGUUUGGCGCCGGCACGGAGUCCUACUUCUCCCUGCUGCGCUUCCUGCUCCUUCUUAACGUGCUGGCCUCUGUGCUCAUGGCCUGCAUGACGCUGCUGCCCACCUGGUUGGGAGGCGCUCCCCCAGGCCCUCCCGGCCCCGACAUCUCCUCGCCCUGCGGCUCCUAUAACCCCCACUCCCAGGGCCUGGUCACCUUUGCCACCCAGCUCUUCAACUUGCUCUCGGGUGAGGGUUACCUGGAAUGGUCCCCUCUCUUCUAUGGCUUCUACCCGCCCCGCCCACGCCUGGCGGUCACCUACCUGUGCUGGGCCUUUGCCGUUGGCCUCAUCUGCCUCCUGCUCAUCCUGCAUCGGUGGAGCUGGAGGAGACAGUGGUGCGGCGCCAGGCUGCGGUGCGGACGCUGGGCCAGCAAGCC